AGAGUUUGAUCCUGGCUCAGGAUGAACGCUGGCGGCGUGCUUAACACAUGCAAGUCGAACGAAGCACUUAUCUUUGAUUCUUCGGAUGAAGAGGUUUGUGACUGAGUGGCGGACGGGUGAGUAACGCGUGGGUAACCUGCCUCAUACAGGGGGAUAACAGUUAGAAAUGACUGCUAAUACCGCAUAAGACCACGGAGCCGCAUGGCUCAGUGGGAAAAACUCCGGUGGUAUGAGAUGGACCCGCGUCUGAUUAGGUAGUUGGUGGGGUAACGGCCUACCAAGCCAACGAUCAGUAGCCGACCUGAGAGGGUGACCGGCCACAUUGGGACUGAGACACGGCCCAAACUCUUACGGGAGGCAGCAGUGGGGAAUAUUGCACAAUGGGGGAAACCCUGAUGCAGCGACGCCGCGUGAGCGAAGAAGUAUUUCGGUAUGUAAAGCUCUAUCAGCAGGGAAGAAAAUGACGGUACCUGACUAAGAAGCACCGGCUAAAUACGUGCCAGCAGCCGCGGUAAUACGUAUGGUGCAAGCGUUAUCCGGAUUUACUGGGUGUAAAGGGAGCGUAGACGGCUGCGUAAGUCUGAAGUGAAAGCCCGGGGCUCACCCCCGCGCACUACUUCCGAAACCAUGCAGCUAGAGUGUCGGAGAGGUAAGUGGAAUUCCCAGUGUAGCGGUGAAAUGUGUAGAUAUUGGGAGGAACACCAGUGGCGAAGGCGGCUCUCCUGUACGAUGACUCACGUUGAGGCUCGAAAGCGUGGGGAGCAAACACGAUUAGAUACCCUGUUAGUCCACCCCCGUAAAACGAUGACUAUGAGGUGUCGGGGGGCAAAGCUGUUCCGGUGCCGCAGCAACCGCAAUAAGUAGUCCUCCUGGGGAGUACGUUCGCAAGAAUGAAACUCAAUGGAAUUAACGGGGACCCGCCCAAGCGAUCGAGCAUGCGGUUUAAUUAGAAGCAACGAGAAGAACCUUCCCAGGUCUGUGACAUCGAUAUAAAGGCUCCAGAGAUGGAGAGAUAGCUAUAGAGAAGCCAGGUGGUGCAUGGUUGUCGUCAGUUCGUGUCGUGAGAUGGUGGGUUAAGUCCCGCAACGAGCGCAACCCCUCUUGCCAGUCACCAGCAUUAAGUUGGGGAUUCUGCAGAGACUCCCGGUGCCAAGCCGGAGGAAGGGGGGGAGGACGUCAAUUCUUCAUCCCCCUUAUGACCUGGGCUCCACACGUGUUCCAAUGGACAGAGCAGAGGGAAGCGAAGCCGCGAGGUGGAGCGAAACCCAUAAACCUGUUCUCAGUUCGGACUGCAGUCUGCAACUCGCCUGCACGAAGUUGGAAUCGCUAGUAAUCGUGAAUCAGCAUGUCGCGGUGAAUACGUUCUCGGGCCUUGCACACACCGCCCGUCA
Molecule: ribosomal RNA, 1391 nt
Filed under: uncultured bacterium
Lineage: Bacteria
Description: bacterial SSU rRNA
Rfam family: Bacterial small subunit ribosomal RNA
Source: RNAcentral